Molecule: long non-coding RNA, 217 nt
Filed under: Setaria viridis
Lineage: Eukaryota; Viridiplantae; Streptophyta; Magnoliopsida; Poales; Poaceae
Description: long non-coding RNA (SVIR_LNC000407)
Source: RNAcentral
AAAGAUACACCUCACAGGAGUUCGAGAGUUUGAGCCAGAUUGUCCACCGAUUGUCUGGACAGGAGGUACGUUCCUUCGAUCCACGGAGGAAUUUCCAGAAGAAGGUGGCGUUCCUGGAGGAGUUAGAGGAUGAGGAAGAUGUUGAAGUCGGACUUGCAGAGUGGAUCAAGGGGAAGAAGCCGAUAUCAUGCCCAUUCGGCAAAAAGGAACCGGAGGU